Molecule: ribosomal RNA, 783 nt
Filed under: uncultured bacterium
Lineage: Bacteria
Description: bacterial SSU rRNA
Rfam family: Bacterial small subunit ribosomal RNA
Source: RNAcentral
AGAGUUUGAUCAUGGCUCAGGAUGAACGCUAGCGGCAGGCCUAAUACAUGCAAGUCGAACGGUCUCUAGCAAUAGAGAUAGUGGCGCACGGGUGCGUAACGCGUAACCAACCUACCCUGGACUGGGGGAUAGCCCGCCGAAAGGCGGAUUAAUACCGCAUAAUACUUGUAACCGGCAUCGGUUGUUAGUUAAAGAUUUAUUGGUCCAGGAUGGGGUUGCGUGCCAUUAGCUAGUUGGGGGGGUAACGGCCCACCAAGGCGACGAUGGCUAGGGGAGCUGAGAGGCUGGUCCCCCACACGGGCACUGAGAUACGGGCCCGACUCCUACGGGAGGCAGCAGUAGGGAAUAUUGGGCAAUGGGCGAGAGCCUGACCCAGCCAUGCCGCGUGCAGGAUGAAGGCUUUCUGAGUCGUAAACUGCUUUUGCCAGGGAAGAAUAAGGGGGAUGCGUCCUCCGACGACGGUACCUGGUGAAUAAGCACCGGCUAACUCCGUGCCAGCAGCCGCGGUAAUACGGAGGGUGCAAGCGUUGUCCGGAUUUAUUGGGUUUAAAGGGUGCGUAGGCGGUUCGUUAAGUCCGGGGUGAAAGCCCACUGCUCAACAGUGGAACUGCCCUGGAAACUGGCGGACUUGAGUACAGACGAGGGCGGCGGAAUGGAGGGUGUAGCGGUGAAAUGCAUAGAUACCCUCCAGAACCCCGAUUGCGAAGGCAGCUGCCUAGACUGUAACUGACGCUGAGGCACGAAAGCGUGGGGAGCGAACAGGAUUAGAUACCCCGGUAGUCC